RNAcentral lists this ribosomal RNA (2921 nucleotides) under Staphylococcus aureus. RNAcentral describes it as "bacterial LSU rRNA". It matches the Rfam family "Bacterial large subunit ribosomal RNA". Lineage: Bacteria; Bacillati; Bacillota; Bacilli; Caryophanales; Staphylococcaceae. The record is from RNAcentral.
UUAAGUUAUUAAGGGCGCACGGUGGAUGCCUUGGCACUAGAAGCCAAUGAAGGACGUUACUAACGACGAUAUGCUUUGGGGAGCUGUAAGUAAGCUUUGAUCCAGAGAUUUCCGAAUGGGGAAACCCAGCAUGAGUUAUGUCAUGUUAUCGAUAUGUGAAUACAUAGCAUAUCAGAAGGCACACCCGGAGAACUGAAACAUCUUAGUACCCGGAGGAAGAGAAAGAAAAUUCGAUUCCCUUAGUAGCGGCGAGCGAAACGGGAAGAGCCCAAACCAACAAGCUUGCUUGUUGGGGUUGUAGGACACUCUAUACGGAGUUACAAAGGACGACAUUAGACGAAUCAUCUGGAAAGAUGAAUCAAAGAAGGUAAUAAUCCUGUAGUCGAAAAUGUUGUCUCUCUUGAGUGGAUCCUGAGUACGACGGAGCAUGUGAAAUUCCGUCGGAAUCUGGGAGGACCAUCUCCUAAGGCUAAAUACUCUCUAGUGACCGAUAGUGAACCAGUACCGUGAGGGAAAGGUGAAAAGCACCCCGGAAGGGGAGUGAAAUAGAACCUGAAACCGUGUGCUUACAAGUAGUCAGAGCCCGUUAAUGGGUGAUGGCGUGCCUUUUGUAGAAUGAACCGGCGAGUUACGAUUUGAUGCAAGGUUAAGCAGUAAAUGUGGAGCCGUAGCGAAAGCGAGUCUGAAUAGGGCGUUUAGUAUUUGGUCGUAGACCCGAAACCAGGUGAUCUACCCUUGGUCAGGUUGAAGUUCAGGUAACACUGAAUGGAGGACCGAACCGACUUACGUUGAAAAGUGAGCGGAUGAACUGAGGGUAGCGGAGAAAUUCCAAUCGAACCUGGAGAUAGCUGGUUCUCUCCGAAAUAGCUUUAGGGCUAGCCUCAAGUGAUGAUUAUUGGAGGUAGAGCACUGUUUGGACGAGGGGCCCCUCUCGGGUUACCGAAUUCAGACAAACUCCGAAUGCCAAUUAAUUUAACUUGGGAGUCAGAACAUGGGUGAUAAGGUCCGUGUUCGAAAGGGAAACAGCCCAGACCACCAGCUAAGGUCCCAAAAUAUAUGUUAAGUGGAAAAGGAUGUGGCGUUGCCCAGACAACUAGGAUGUUGGCUUAGAAGCAGCCAUCAUUUAAAGAGUGCGUAAUAGCUCACUAGUCGAGUGACACUGCGCCGAAAAUGUACCGGGGCUAAACAUAUUACCGAAGCUGUGGAUUGUCCUUUGGACAAUGGUAGGAGAGCGUUCUAAGGGCGUUGAAGCAUGAUCGUAAGGACAUGUGGAGCGCUUAGAAGUGAGAAUGCCGGUGUGAGUAGCGAAAGACGGGUGAGAAUCCCGUCCACCGAUUGACUAAGGUUUCCAGAGGAAGGCUCGUCCGCUCUGGGUUAGUCGGGUCCUAAGCUGAGGCCGACAGGCGUAGGCGAUGGAUAACAGGUUGAUAUUCCUGUACCACCUAUAAUCGUUUUAAUCGAUGGGGGGACGCAGUAGGAUAGGCGAAGCGUGCGAUUGGAUUGCACGUCUAAGCAGUAAGGCUGAGUAUUAGGCAAAUCCGGUACUCGUUAAGGCUGAGCUGUGAUGGGGAGAAGACAUUGUGUCUUCGAGUCGUUGAUUUCACACUGCCGAGAAAAGCCUCUAGAUAGAAAAUAGGUGCCCGUACCGCAAACCGACACAGGUAGUCAAGAUGAGAAUUCUAAGGUGAGCGAGCGAACUCUCGUUAAGGAACUCGGCAAAAUGACCCCGUAACUUCGGGAGAAGGGGUGCUCUUUAGGGUUAACGCCCAGAAGAGCCGCAGUGAAUAGGCCCAAGCGACUGUUUAUCAAAAACACAGGUCUCUGCUAAACCGUAAGGUGAUGUAUAGGGGCUGACGCCUGCCCGGUGCUGGAAGGUUAAGAGGAGUGGUUAGCUUCUGCGAAGCUACGAAUCGAAGCCCCAGUAAACGGCGGCCGUAACUAUAACGGUCCUAAGGUAGCGAAAUUCCUUGUCGGGUAAGUUCCGACCCGCACGAAAGGCGUAACGAUUUGGGCACUGUCUCAACGAGAGACUCGGUGAAAUCAUAGUACCUGUGAAGAUGCAGGUUACCCGCGACAGGACGGAAAGACCCCGUGGAGCUUUACUGUAGCCUGAUAUUGAAAUUCGGCACAGCUUGUACAGGAUAGGUAGGAGCCUUUGAAACGUGAGCGCUAGCUUACGUGGAGGCGCUGGUGGGAUACUACCCUAGCUGUGUUGGCUUUCUAACCCGCACCACUUAUCGUGGUGGGAGACAGUGUCAGGCGGGCAGUUUGACUGGGGCGGUCGCCUCCUAAAAGGUAACGGAGGCGCUCAAAGGUUCCCUCAGAAUGGUUGGAAAUCAUUCAUAGAGUGUAAAGGCAUAAGGGAGCUUGACUGCGAGACCUACAAGUCGAGCAGGGUCGAAAGACGGACUUAGUGAUCCGGUGGUUCCGCAUGGAAGGGCCAUCGCUCAACGGAUAAAAGCUACCCCGGGGAUAACAGGCUUAUCUCCCCCAAGAGUUCACAUCGACGGGGAGGUUUGGCACCUCGAUGUCGGCUCAUCGCAUCCUGGGGCUGUAGUCGGUCCCAAGGGUUGGGCUGUUCGCCCAUUAAAGCGGUACGCGAGCUGGGUUCAGAACGUCGUGAGACAGUUCGGUCCCUAUCCGUCGUGGGCGUAGGAAAUUUGAGAGGAGCUGUCCUUAGUACGAGAGGACCGGGAUGGACAUACCUCUGGUGUACCAGUUGUCGUGCCAACGGCAUAGCUGGGUAGCUAUGUGUGGACGGGAUAAGUGCUGAAAGCAUCUAAGCAUGAAGCCCCCCUCAAGAUGAGAUUUCCCAACUUCGGUUAUAAGAUCCCUCAAAGAUGAUGAGGUUAAUAGGUUCGAGGUGGAAGCAUGGUGACAUGUGGAGCUGACGAAUACUAAUCGAUCGAAGACUUAAUCAA